ACGCACGCUGGCGGCGUGCUUAACACCUGCCAGUCGAACGGUGACGGCGGAGCUUGCUCCUCCUGAUCAGUGGCGAACGGGUGAGUAACACGUGAGCAAUCUGCCCCUGACUCUGGGAUAACUGCGGGAAACUGUAGCUAAUACCGGAUACGACGCGCGAAGGCAUCUUCUGCGCGUGGAAAGAAUUUCGAUCAGGGAUGAGCUCGCGGCCUAUCAGCUUGUUGGUGAGGUAAUGGCUCACCAAGGCUACGACGGGUAGCCGGCCUGAGAGGGUGACCGGCCACACUGGGACUGAGACACGGCCCAGACUCCUACGGGAGGCAGCAGUGGGGAAUAUUGCACAAUGGGCGCAAGCCUGAUGCAGCAACGCCGCGUGAGGGAAGACGGCCUUCGGGUUGUAAACCUCUCUUGGCAGGGAAGAAGCGAAAGUGACGGUACCUGCAGAAAAAGCUCCGGCUAACUACGUG
Molecule: ribosomal RNA, 467 nt
Filed under: uncultured bacterium
Lineage: Bacteria
Description: partial 16S ribosomal RNA
Rfam family: Bacterial small subunit ribosomal RNA
Source: RNAcentral